AUGGUGCUCCCAACCUUACCGGUUACCCUCACAUUCCUCACACUGUUAGCCCUCUUGUCGAUUGCCAAGGCGGCUGAUAACAACUCCACAACCUCUGGCCUCAUCCUCCUAAACUGCGGAGAAUCUACCCAAGACGAUGAUGAUGGUGGUCGUUCUUGGGAUGGGGACACCGGCUCCAUAUUCGCGCCAUCAAUGAAAGGAGAUGCAGCCAUUGCUUUAGAUGCCGUCUUCGGAGUCACGGCACGGAAUCUUGUCCUCUUAAAAGACUUCAAUGCUUUGCAAACAGCUCAGGCGAUCACUUCUGCCUACCUUGUGCGUGAAUUCUCGGUGAAUGUUUCUUCAGGCAGCUUGGACCUCACCUUUGCACCAUCAGCACAUCAGUAUGGGUCUUAUGCAUUUGUGAAUGGCAUUGAGAUUGUGCCCACGCCUGACAUCUUCGCAACACCUGACAUAAGAUUUGUCAGCGGUGAUAACACAUCUCCAUUCACAUUCGACGCUGACAUGAGCCUCCAGACUAUGUACCGGCUCAAUGUUGGGGGCCCAGCCAUUUCCCCGAAAGGUGACUCGGGCUUUUACCGCUCAUGGGCCAAUGAUGCCCCAUACAUACUUGGUGGCUUUGGGUUGACCUUUUGGAAAAAUGAUAAUUUGACUAUCAGUUAUACAUCUAGAGUGCCGAAUUACACCGCCCCAGUUGAUGUCUAUGGUACAGCUCGGUCCAUGGGGCCAACUGCACAGAUCAACCUGAACUACAACCUUACAUGGAUUUUACCGGUUGAUGCGGGUUUCUUUUACCUCCUAAGGUUUCAUUUCUGUGAGAUUAAGUAUCCUAUUACCAAGGUGAAUCAGAGGUCGUUCUUCAUCUACAUCAACAACCAGACAGCGCAGGAGCAAAUGGAUGUCAUCUUCCGGAGCGGAGGAAUCGGUAGACCAACAUACACUGAAUAUGUUAUCAUGGCUAUUGGUUCUGGUCAGGUGGACAUGUGGAUUGCACUUCACCCUGAUCUUUCAAGUAAACCACAGUAUUCUGAUGCAAUACUGAAUGGUCUCGAGGUCUUCAAGCUACAGAAUUACGGACCGAGCAAUCUUGCUGGGCUCAAUCCUCCACUUCCGCAAAAGCCUGAUGUGAAUCCUAAUAGGCUAUCUAGCGGUGAAAGAAAAACCAAAGGUGGCAUACAAGCAACCAUCGGUGGUACUGCUGGUGGUUUUGCUUUAUUGUUGAUUGCCCUUUUCAGCAUGUGUGUUAUCUACAGACGGAAGAAGGCAGCGAAGAGUCCCGGCAAGACCGACUAUGGACAUGUGAAGCAUCCAACUAAAUGCAUAAAGUCUACAUGUGAUCUUGUACGUCAUUUCUCAUUUGCUAAAAUUCAAGUUGCCACCAAAGACUUUGAUGAAGCACUUAUCAUCGGCAGAGGCGGUUUCGGGAAUGUCUACAUCGGCGAUAUAGAUGGAGGGACAAAGGUGGCGAUCAAGCGAUGUGACCAGAAAUCCCAACAAGGCUUUCAUGAGUUCCAGACUGAAAUCGAGAUGCUGUGCAAUUUCCGCCAUCGCCACCUUGUGUCUCUGAUUGGCUAUUGUGAGGAGAAGAAUGAGAUGAUUCUGGUGUAUGACUACAUGGCUCAUGGAACACUGCGUGAGCAUUUGUACAACACCAGGAACCCACCACUGCCGUGGCAGCAGCGCCUUGAGAUUUGCAUCGGUGCAGCCCGAGGACUGCAUUACCUCCACACCGGCGUAGAGCAAGGAAUCAUCCACCGUGACGUCAAGACCACCAACAUCCUACUGGAUGAUAGGUUAAUGGCAAAGGUUUCCGACUUCGGUUUGUUUAAGGCUAGUCCAGACAUUGGCAACACCCACAUGAGCACUGCUGUUAAGGGCACCUUUGGAUAUCUUGAUCUGGAGUACUUCCGGCAGCAGCGUCUCACCAAAAAAUCAGAUGUGUACUCCUUCGGGGUUGUGUUGUUUGAGACCCUGUGUGCGCGCCCUGUGAUAAAUACUGAGCUCCCUUAUGAGCAAGUGAGCUUGCGUGACUGGGUGGUAUCUUGCCGAAAGAAAGGUGUACUCGAGGAGAUUGUUGACCCCUGUGUUAAGGAGGAAAUCACCCUUGAGUGCUUCAGGAUAUUUGCAGAGAUAGCGGAGAAAUGCGUUGCUGAUCGUAGCAUAGAUAGGCCAUCAAUGGGUGAUGUACUUUGGAACCUUGAGGUCGCACUCCAGCUUCAGGAUAGUGCAAGCUACAACACCAGCUGUGCUGAGGGUGCAUCAUCUCUUCAGAUCAGCGGAGUGCAUUCAGGCAAACCAUCAACCAACUCAACAAUUAGCGUUGCAGCACAGGAAGCCAUAUUUUCAGAUAUUGCACAUCCAGAAGGCCGAUAA
RNAcentral lists this ribosomal RNA (2370 nucleotides) under Triticum aestivum (bread wheat). Its description in RNAcentral is "partial small subunit ribosomal RNA". Lineage: Eukaryota; Viridiplantae; Streptophyta; Magnoliopsida; Poales; Poaceae. The record is from RNAcentral.